UGGGGAAUAUUGGACAAUGGGGGGAACCCUGAUCCAGCCAUGCCGCGUGUGUGAAGAAGGACUUAUGGUUGUAAAGCACUUUAAGCGAGGAGGAGGGUACUGGUAUUAAUACUACCAGGUACUGGACGUUACUCGCAGAAUAAGCACCGGCUAACUCUGUGCCAGCAGCCGCGGUAAUACAGAGGGUGCGAGCGUUAAUCGGAUUUACUGGGCGUAAAGCGUGCGUAGGCGGCUAAUUGAGUCGGAUGUGAAAUCCCCGAGCUUAACUUGGGAAUUGCAUUCGAUACUGGUUAGCUAGAGUGUGGGAGAGGAUGGUAGAAUUCCAGGUGUAGCGGUGAAAUGCGUAGAGAUCUGGAGGAAUACCGAUGGCGAAGGCAGCCAUCUGGCCUAACACUGACGCUGAGGUACGAAAGCAUGGGGAGCAAACAGG
RNAcentral lists this ribosomal RNA (430 nucleotides) under Pseudomonadota bacterium. RNAcentral's name for it is "Proteobacteria bacterium partial 16S ribosomal RNA". It matches the Rfam family "Bacterial small subunit ribosomal RNA", at positions 355 to 776 of the family's 1533-position model. Lineage: Bacteria; Pseudomonadati; Pseudomonadota. The record is from RNAcentral.